Molecule: ribosomal RNA, 286 nt
Filed under: uncultured Bacillariophyceae
Lineage: Eukaryota; Bacillariophyta; Bacillariophyceae
Description: partial 18S ribosomal RNA
Rfam family: Eukaryotic small subunit ribosomal RNA
Source: RNAcentral
CGUAUAUUAAAGUUGUUGCAGUUAAAAAGCUCGUAGUUGGAUUUGUGGCGUAUGGUGUGUUCCGGGCACUUGUUGUCUGAGUAACCUGCUGUUGCCAUCCUUGGGUGGAACCUGUGUGGCAUUAGGUUGUCGUGCAGGGGAUGCCCAUCAUUUACUGUGAAAAAAUUAGAGUGUUCAAAGCAGGCUUAUGCUGUUGAAUAUAUUAGCAUGGAAUAAUGAGAUAGGACUUUUUUACUAUUUUGUUGGUUUGCGUAAAGAGGUAAUGAUUAAUAGGGACAGUUGGGGG